Molecule: long non-coding RNA, 2732 nt
Filed under: Takifugu rubripes (torafugu)
Lineage: Eukaryota; Metazoa; Chordata; Actinopteri; Tetraodontiformes; Tetraodontidae
Description: lncRNA (ENSTRUG00000031282.1)
Source: RNAcentral
CCAGGCAUGUACCUAAAUAAGACACACCCACUUCACAGUAAACAAAGGGGUGUCCACCAAUCUGCUGAUAAUGGAGGUAAGGGGACGCCCCCGUUUACAGCCGACUAAACAACCCCCCGACCCUGCGGCCCAGCUGAGCUGACGCUGUCUCAUGCCCUGCAGCUGAGAGUUGUGCUGGCUUCUUUUGAGAUGGCCCGUGCAGAGACCAUUGAAAGUGUUGGGGAAACUGGGAUUGGAACACAUGGUCUCUUUUCUCAGCACAACACCUGCUGCAUGGAGCUGACUCGUCCUCUCCAAAGCUGGCCUGGACUGCUCAGCACUGCUACCAUCACCAUUAGCCCUGGGAAUGCCAGCACCCCCGUGCACCGCCAUCAUAACGACCACAGCCUCCAGCCUUUGCAGGCGAUCAGUGGGUCAUAUCAUUCAUCUUACCUCCACCCCGAGGGCCAGGCUCAGCCCCAGCCUCACCACCAGUUACCUACUUUAUCUUCGGCAACUCAUCCUUUGCCACUUCAAAAUCAGGGAGGAGAAUUUGACGAAGGCUUUCCAGGACAGCAGUCAGGCUUGGACCAGAGGACACAACAGGAGCGCAGCCACCGACGAGGACCUCUGCCCGACCUGCUGCCACAGACGGAGCACCUGUCCAGGCUUUCAUCCCCUCCCAGAGGCCCCGACGACGGCACGUUACAGCUGAGGGUCAGGAGGGUGGCCAUCCAACUGAGGACCAUCGGGGACGAAUUCAACGCCACGCUUCUCCACAGAGCGGAUGCUCCCUAUUGGCAGGACUGGCGAGAUGCCUGCAGAGUUUUACUGAAUUUCAUCACCCAGACUCUCAGCACGCUCUACCGGCUGACAUAAGCACCCAAGCGUUUGGCAUGUGGGGCCACUGGCUGCUGGAACGUUGCAAAAAAACACUGGGGAGGAUUAACCAAUUUGGAAAUCAAACAUUUUCUAUAGUCUGUGAGACUACCCAUUAGUCAGUCUGCUGGCUCAGACUGCUGUUGAGAGAGGAAAUCCCCCUUUUUUCCCCCUGUGUAUUCAGUUAAAUUUACACGUUUCUGGAUUAAAUCUGUUGGUGUACUGUAGGGGAAUGACUGUAAUUUUACAUUUCAGACCUGUUUAAUUUUACAUUUCAGACUUGUCCUGAUAAUCCAAGCUACAAAGUACGACACUUCGAUGUCUCUCCCUUGUCUUUGAAACUGUGAAAGUGGAUCCUGAGUGGGGACAGGUCAGGUGCUAUUCCACCAACGGGCACAAAGUGAACCUGCCUCCCAACCUGAAACUGCUUCAGUGCAUCAUAUAAUGUGCCUUCCUGCUCAGCACCCUUUGUAGGCCCAGUUUUACUUUCUGUCAAUCGGUCAGACACACAGAUCCAGAGGCGGCCCCUAAAGUAAAGGUUAUUAGAUACAUAUCCUGCCUGCAUUCCUCUGCAGCAGCCCUGCAGUCAGUGCUGGGACCUGCCAGGCUGAUUCCAGGUUCUAAACAGUGUUCAUAGUUUCUUGAUCAUUUGUAAAUAUUUUUUUGGAAGAUGAAACUAUCUCUCGUGUUUUCAAGAAAUUUUAAAGUACCUUUCAAGCUGUGAGUUCGCUGUCUUUGGGAGACCUUGUUUUAAGGGGGAAAAAAAAAUUAAAUACAUUUCUGAGCAGAGUUUGAAUUUAAAUCCAGUGGAUUUGAGUUAGGAAAAAAUCUAUGAUUGAAUUUUUUUUGACUGAAAUGAAAAGAAAGAAAAGUUAAAAUCUCCCUCUUGGUUGUGCGACUGCAUUCAUUUUUGCCUUGGUGAGAAUGUUGACAGCUCAUAUUAAGAGCAUAAUUUAUUUUAAAAUGUAGCCUUACUGUAGCAUUUUUAUGUUCACUGUUAUUUAUUUUGUUUUUACAUUCCUCAAGAGUAUGAAUUAAGUGCUUGUGUUAAACUGAGAUUUACAAUACAAUGUUUUCAAGAAUUUUAAAAAGAUUAUUAUCAUUACUGAAAUUCCAAAUUUAGAAAACCAAAAUGUCCUCAUUGGCAUUCUAAUUUCCAACAGUACAGAUGGUAAAACGUGGUAUAGACGCUCAGUUUCUUUCAGGAAGUGUUAAAAAUGUGAUUCCCAUCAGAUUCCAAAUCACUCAAAACGGGGUUCUAAUUAACCAUCGAAUGUUUUCUGUGCUUUUUACUUGCUUGGCCUUGAAUUGUUGAUGUCCUUCUGUUGUCAGCUGAAAGUCCUGGAUACCAAUUUCAAUUGGUGGCUGAGCCAGAUGCUGAGCUAAGACCACUCUGGUAUUUUUAGUUUUCGGUUAGUUUGUCAUCUCAUUUGCUGUUAUCGCAUUUAUGCUGACCGUUUUUUGAUGCCUUGUAAAUGCUUACAGUUGUGUUCUCUUCCAUUUUUUAAUCUAAGAGGUCUGAGGUUUUCCUUCCUACAAUGAUGCAGUGUCAUCACACACAGUGUGUUUGGCUUUUUUUCCCCCACCAUUUUUGUACACUUUUUUUUUUUUUUUACAAAAUUUUGUAAGUCUCUUCAGUUUUUAUACAAUAAAGUUAAAAGAGAAAUCUACCCAUGUGUUUGGUGUUUAAUCCCAAAUAAACAGGACAAGAAAUUACCAUUCUUGUACGCCAGCGAGAUUCUCUGAGAAGAAUACGUGUUUCUUUUUAAACCUCAUCUUUCCUGCUACUGGUUGACACUGGAAACCUCUGUGGGUUGUGGCCACCCUGGCAGGACAGAAGAGGACAGCAGUAAUUAACUGGAAUGUGUUGCCAC